UUUUCUUAGUGGCGGACGGGUGAGUAACGCGUGGGUAACCUGCCCUAUACAGGGGGAUAACAACCAGAAAUGGUUGCUAAUACCGCAUAAGCGCACAGGACCGCAUGGUCCGGUGUGAAAAACUCCGGUGGUAUAGGAUGGACCCGCGUUGGAUUAGCCAGUUGGCAGGGUAACGGCCUACCAAAGCGACGAUCCAUAGCCGGCCUGAGAGGGUGAACGGCCACAUUGGGACUGAGACACGGCCCAG
This 247-nucleotide ribosomal RNA is filed under the name uncultured bacterium. RNAcentral's name for it is "partial 16S ribosomal RNA". It matches the Rfam family "Bacterial small subunit ribosomal RNA", at positions 87 to 334 of the family's 1533-position model. The record is from RNAcentral.